GGUCUCAUAGCUCAGUUGGUUAGAGCAGCUCAUUCUUAAUGAGCGGGUCCCGUGUUCGAGUCACGGUGAGAUCACCA
RNAcentral lists this transfer RNA (77 nucleotides) under Bdellovibrionales bacterium GWA2_49_15. RNAcentral describes it as "tRNA-Lys". It matches the Rfam family "tRNA". Rfam says of the family: Transfer RNA (tRNA) molecules are approximately 80 nucleotides in length. Their secondary structure includes four short double-helical elements and three loops (D, anti-codon, and T loops). The record is from RNAcentral. Lineage: Bacteria; Pseudomonadati; Bdellovibrionota; Bdellovibrionia; Bdellovibrionales. RNAcentral also lists the same sequence under 2 other names.